This is a long non-coding RNA of Cavia porcellus (domestic guinea pig), 920 nucleotides long. RefSeq lists it as uncharacterized. The transcript is spliced from 2 exons. The record is from RefSeq and is a predicted model, not a curated record. NCBI's taxonomy places the organism in Eukaryota, Metazoa, Chordata, Mammalia, Rodentia, Caviidae.
AGGGUCUAAAACAGUCUCAGGUAAGGGCUGAUAAAGGCUGGCUCUAGGGUAUGGGGAAUACAAGGGAAGAAAUACAUUUAAAAGGCAUCACAGUGAUAUUAAUAGGUCUUGGGGGAAUGAGAAGAGGGAGGGAUCUAGUUUUGUAGCAGAAAAUGCCCCCUCCUCAGCCAGUCUGCUGGUUGCCCAGGUAACAGUUCCUGUUACAAGUUCCUGUUACUUCUGUCUCUUAGCAAGGGCUGCUCACUGUGAUGCAUAGUGGAAGAACCAAAGACAUCCAAGCACUCUGCCUCUGUAUUUUCCCUUUCAACUCCAUAAAAUCCUGUUUUCAGAAUGAUCCCCAUCUUGUGCCUGUUGAUGUACAAAUCUACCUCCAAAUGCCGGGUGUCGUUUAGGUGUUUCUGCUGCAGUUUGAGGGUGACUGGGUGGACGGGGAAAAAGACUAAAGAAGCCAAGAUAAACUGGGGAGAGGCACGGAGGAUGCGGUUGUAACUAGUUUACUCCUGGGCGUCUGGGGAACAUUUACCGAGCUGUGUAACCCCUGGACCUACCAAACACAGCUUGCAGAGCAGCCUCUGUGGCUGCACUGUUUCUUAAAAUCCUGCUGAGAACCAAGGAUGAAAAUGAAAGAAGCAGGACAGAGGCGGUUUAAGGCAACAGAAACUGAUCGUUUGGGGGAUACACAGCAGAAAGAGGAAGGAGGAUAGCGUGUACUUCUCCGACUCUAAGGAUUGCUAUUCAGCAAGAAAAAAAUCAGACAAUCUCAGUCCUAUGGAGAUCAACUCUCACAUCCCUUUGGCUGGCUGUGGAGGAAUUAUUACGUGGUCACUGUGUUAUCUUCUCUUUUUUGUUCCUCCCCUAAACAAAUGUGAAAUAUUGUAUUCAUCAUCAAUAAAUAUUAGUGGUGUUCCAUUGCAUGUCAA